AUUUUGCAAGGAAAACAAUGAAGGGAAUGAAACAACAUCUUCUUCUCUUCGUCUUCUUUAUAAGUUGCAAUGGCCAAAAUGACAAUGACAUUGCACAAGAAAUUAAAGACAAAUGGGCGACAUAUGUGAAAGGGUUACUCGCAGGAGACACAGCACUAAUCGUACGCAGGAGUAAUGAAGGGCGCGAUAAUCAUCCUAUUUGCUGGUGGUCUCUGAAGACUGCAAGACCAAGAGGUUCAUUUCAGCAUAAUUUAACAUAUUAUAGAUUGGA
Dermacentor andersoni is the source of this 271-nucleotide long non-coding RNA. RefSeq lists it as uncharacterized. NCBI's taxonomy places the organism in Eukaryota, Metazoa, Arthropoda, Arachnida, Ixodida, Ixodidae. The record is from RefSeq and is a predicted model, not a curated record.